Molecule: transfer RNA, 74 nt
Filed under: bacterium
Lineage: Bacteria
Description: tRNA-Arg
Rfam family: tRNA
About the family: Transfer RNA (tRNA) molecules are approximately 80 nucleotides in length. Their secondary structure includes four short double-helical elements and three loops (D, anti-codon, and T loops).
Source: RNAcentral
GCGCCCAUAGCUCAGCUGGAUAGAGCAACAGCCUUCUAAGCUGUAGGUCCUAGGUUCAAAUCCUAGUGGGCGUA